CUUCCUCUUAAAGCCACGUAGCAGUUUCAAGGGUAGAUGAUGUUCUCUUUUAUUUGGUACCAUUGGCUUUAGGGAAGCCCGAAGGACCAUCUGCUCCAUCAGAGUCACACGCAGAGGGUUCUGCUCCUGCCUUUGGAAGUUGGCUUCCUGAGCUGCUGAACGAGCCAGUCCUGCUGACCUACUCUCAGAUAUCACAGGCACCGGCUGUGUCUGACAGAGACCUUUCUGCAAGUACACAUGCAGGUCUGCUCUGUAAAGACUUUAUCAUUUGCAGAUUAUUGCCCAGAGUGGCUACGAGCUGUGGUGUGAUCCUGUCACAGAGAGAGCCGGGCCGCGUUUUCAGAACAGCAGGAAACAGGACAUUUUGAAACAUCUUUUCAGUGGUGAAAAGGACGUCAGCAAGGGGAUCUGAAAGAGAAAUAAACAGUCACUGGAAACACACGCUGAAGGCAGGGAUUGGGGCACAUAUUAAUAAAAUAGCUUGAGUAACACUGGAUAAUGCACAAGAACAGCAAAAAAAAAAAAAAAAAAAAAAAAAAAAAAAAAAAAAAAAAAAAAACCGACACAACGAUGAGGAAUUCAUCAGUGAAGGGCUCGCGGAAUGUUCUGAGAAUAAUUCUUCCUUGCUAACGCUCUCCAGUUUGCAUUAAGAUGCCCGGCAGUUCACCCUCCAGUCUGAGCCAGGCCGGUUACACAGGCUGCAAAGUUUCUUAGGCCCUCAACGACGAUCCUGGACAGACACCCUGAACACAGCCUCCCUGGUACAUUCUUAGUGCACUCACAAAAUCUGCUGCUUCCCAGGUCUUUUAGAUGUGAAAUGAAACCCCAAGGGCUGCAUUAACAAGGAGCAAAAACACAUGCAACCAAAGCCAGCAGUUAUGGCGAAGCAUCCCGGAUUCCCAUGAGAAAGUCUCUGGAUCUAGUUCCUCUACGUCACAUGAGUGUGCAAACAGGAGACUACAAGAGUUUAAAAAUACUGGGACUGCUGGAGAUUUCCCUGGCCAUAUAUAGUUCAUUUGUUUCACAGUAAGUUCAAAAGAGACAGAGGGAGAGGGAGGGAGACAAAGAAGGCAACGGGCACUCAGCUUGAGUGAGUUGGGAACCUGAAUACAAUACUGUGCCACCUUCC
Molecule: long non-coding RNA, 1129 nt
Filed under: Macaca mulatta (Rhesus monkey)
Lineage: Eukaryota; Metazoa; Chordata; Mammalia; Primates; Cercopithecidae
Description: lncRNA (ENSMMUG00000051010.1)
Source: RNAcentral